Molecule: RNase P RNA, 329 nt
Filed under: human gut metagenome
Description: Bacterial RNase P class A
Rfam family: Bacterial RNase P class A
About the family: Ribonuclease P (RNase P) is a ubiquitous endoribonuclease, found in archaea, bacteria and eukarya as well as chloroplasts and mitochondria. Its best characterised activity is the generation of mature 5'-ends of tRNAs by cleaving the 5'-leader elements of precursor-tRNAs.
Source: RNAcentral
AGUGGGUCAGACAACUGCGUAGCAUCUGCUGAUGUUAUGAGGAAAGUCCGAGCUCCACAGGGCAGGAUAACGGCUAACAGCCGCCGAGGGCGACCUUAGGGAAAGUGCAACAGAAAUAAACCGCCUGUUUUUACAGGUAAGGAUGGAAAGGCGAGGUAAGAGCUCACCGGCGUACAGGAGACUGUGCGGCCAUGUAAACCCUAUCCGGAGCAACACCGAUAAAAAGCUAUACAUUUGCCCGAUGUGCUUUUGACAGGUGGCAUGAGCUUAUAAGCAAUUAUGAGCCUAGAUAGAUAGUUGUCCACGACAGAACUCGGCUUACGACUCGG